GAGGGUGUGUGCGUGUAUGUCUCACUGUGUCCUUAAUACUCCUUCUCUCUGGUGCCCACCAUAUGGUUCUAUGUGGCCUGGCGAUGCCCGUCCCUUGAACAGUAAUUCAGGAAGAAGUCAUCGAAUGGUGGAGGGCAGUCUGCAAGGCAUUAAUGGAGCUACCAUAGUGGGUCCUCAGAGUUCACGUGGGCUCAACCUCUUUUACAAGGGAAGAAUAGACUGGCUGGGGUUAAAGCCUGACCUGUAAUAAAGACAGUGAGUUUGUAUAUGCCUAUCUAGCAAAGCUGGACUGGAACCCAGUUUUGGGGACACUGGUCUUUGGGAACAUUGUCUUAGAGACACAACUAACAAUAGCAUUUUAUAAUAAUUAUUCAUGGUCAGUUUCAUGAGUGUUAUGAAAAUCCAUGGCUGUGGAUCAAUAAUUCAUAUCUACUUAAAUGAAUCUAUUUUAGCAAUGGAAUGAGUGAGGCCUAUAUGUGUUUUCUUUCUUUCUUUUUUAAUAAUUAGAAAGUUAUUUUUAUUGUUUCUUUUUAGUUAUACAUGACAGUAGAAUUGUUUUGAUAAAAUUACACAUGCAUUUUUAUAUCUUAUUCUAAUCAGGACCCCAUUCUUCUGGGUAUAUACAAUGAUGAAUUUGCUAAGUUUUUUUUAUAUAUAUAUAUAUAUAUAUAUAUAUAUAUAUAUAUAUAUAUGAAAAUUAUAUCCGAUUCAUUUUACUGUCUCCUAUUCCUAUCCCCUUCCCUUCCCUACAUUCCGCUUUGUCUAAUGUACUGAACUUCUCUUCUUCUCACGCUCCCUUAUUUAUGUGGUUUGGCUUCUACAUAUCAACAAAAAUAUUCAACCUUUGAUUUUGGGGGAUUGGCUUAUUUCACUUAGCAUCAUAGCCUCCAGAUUCAUCCAUUUACUAAUAAAUGUCAUAAAGUUAUCCUUUAUGGCUGAGUAAUACUUCAUUGUGUCUAUGUACCACAUUUUCUUUAUCCAUUCACCUGUUGAAGGGCACCAAGUUUGGCUCCAUAGCUUAGCUAUUAUGAAUUGUGAUGCUAUAAACAUUGAUGUGGCUGUGUUACUGUGGGAUGCUGAUUUUAAAUCAUUUGGAUAUAUGCUGAGGAGUG
Molecule: long non-coding RNA, 1112 nt
Filed under: Marmota monax (woodchuck)
Lineage: Eukaryota; Metazoa; Chordata; Mammalia; Rodentia; Sciuridae
Source: RNAcentral